AGCAGUUCUUGUAGCAUCACUUGC
This 24-nucleotide non-coding RNA is filed under the name Arabidopsis thaliana (thale cress). Lineage: Eukaryota; Viridiplantae; Streptophyta; Magnoliopsida; Brassicales; Brassicaceae. The record is from RNAcentral.